ACUAGGCGGCAGUCAGGAGAAGAUCUUUUACAGUAACAUAUCAAUAAUAAUCAUGGCAGAAAGUGCUUGGUUGUGAUCAGCGUUUGAGAUGUAUUGAGAUGUAGGCAGUCCUACGUCCCGUUUCGUUAGUUUCAUGUAGGUAAAACCCUUCUUCUGCAGCUCUGUUGGAGGGUUAUGAUACCACUCGAUUAUCCACUCAUUUCCUCUUUAUGAAACCGUUAUUUCUCUAUAAGCUUAUACGAAGAUUCUGCAAUGUGUUUCCUAAUUUUUAACUACCUUUCGUAACCUUUUUAGUUUUUUGUAAAGCUGCUUAUGCAAAUUUAAUCUUCUGUAGCUAAUUUGGGUUAGGGAGAACUAUUAUCAGUUCACUCUCACUGAAUCUGAACUGGUCUCAGCCAGUUCUGUCACAACAAAUUUUAUAAAGCUCCAAACAUGUUUUUUACAGGUAAAUUAGCAGAGGGAAUGGUGAGAGAUGUUUCCUUGUGAUGUACCUUGCUCAUAAUUCCAAUUGGUUUUUGAUCCUCUUCAACAAAUCAUCGGUAAAGAGUCAUGUGGCAUUUGGGUGAACGUAUUUGCUGUAUUAUUGAUUCAUGCAGGUGAACAAAGAUAAGUUGAUGCAAGCCCCUCACUGAAAACUUAUCAUUAUUAAAUACUGAUUUUAAAAUUGUUUUGUUUUAACCACUUUUUUUCUUUUGUUUUAGGAAUGUUAGAAGAGAGGGUGGUUCACCGCUAGCUGGAGUUGAGUUAAUUCGCAGACUGGUGUUAAAACAACACUGUUUAAAAAACUGUGGCCAAUUACACUGGGCAUACAGUCCUAACCGUAUUUUAUUUUACGGUCAGACUAUAUUUUAUUUAACGGUCAGGAACUGUAUUUAAUUUUACGGUUGAACUGUAUUUUGAAAUACAGGCCGGACUGUUUUUAUUUUUAUAGUCUGAGCUGUUACAGUCUGGAUUGUAGUUCAGAAUACAGUCCUGCCUGUAUUUUCAUUUACGGUCCAGACUGUAAACUAAAAACCGUAAAAGGCCGUUAUAGAGGACAAAAUCUACAAAAACCCAUUUGAAAUUUCCACCCACCAGGUCUAAGAUUACAGUCCGACUAAACUUAAAUCUUACAGUCCAGAUUGUAACAGGUCAGCCUGUACAUUUGAAUACAGUCUGACCGUAUUCUACAAAACAGUGCAGACUGUUAGGCGGUAACAGGUCGGACUUUAAAAUUAAAAACAGUCCGACUGUAAAAUUAAAAACAGUCAGGCCAAUAUAAAAAUUUAUUGGCCAUCCUGCACGAAUUACUGUAGGUUUUUUUUAACAGUGAAAGGACUAAACUAGAACUAGAAUGAUGUUCCUUAUGCCCAUUUAUUAUCAGGAGAAUGUUGUUAAUUAUGGAAGGAAGAGAUUCUGGUAGACGACACAACUCCGACUCACUGCAAAUCUUCUAAAAAUAUUGUGACUAUGCAUUUGCUGCGCAUCCAUGGAUCGGCACUAAUGCCUCAUUGAGAAAAGUAUUAGUUCUUGUCCUUGAAAGCACAAUGGCUGUGUUUCCCAACUGCAUUCUGCUGUAGAUUUCUGUCAGAUAUCUCGGUGGUGCCCCAGGCCUGGGGUCCCAUGAGCCUGCCCUGGGCAAACAUAAGCCUUUGCCAAUAUUAGGCAAUAAAGUAGAGCUAUUAUCACAUUCGAAUCAAAGGGAAUGAUAAAUAUAGUCUCUAUUUAUGCGCCUGAUCUGGUAUAAUAGCUUUGUCGCAAGAGAAACAGCCGUAGAAAAAAUUAUUUAUGUUUGUAUUAACCUUAGAGCAGGUUCAAAGUGAAAAAUUCUUCGGAAUCGAAAUUUGAUUAUGGUAAUGCCGUUAAGAGGCAUUUUACUAAAUAAGCACACAAUAUAUGAAGGAAAAAGAAAAAAAAAAGAUUUUUUGAGGCAUACGAUGGGGCGUACGGGACCCUAAGGACCACUACUAAGCCCAUGGGACCCCAGGGUACACUUUUCGGAAUAAAUGUUAA
Molecule: long non-coding RNA, 1992 nt
Organism: Frankliniella occidentalis (western flower thrips)
Lineage: Eukaryota; Metazoa; Arthropoda; Insecta; Thysanoptera; Thripidae
Exons: 3
Source: RefSeq, a predicted model, not a curated record